Molecule: ribosomal RNA, 576 nt
Filed under: Microbulbifer sp. N9mIS14
Lineage: Bacteria; Pseudomonadati; Pseudomonadota; Gammaproteobacteria; Cellvibrionales; Microbulbiferaceae
Description: bacterial SSU rRNA
Rfam family: Bacterial small subunit ribosomal RNA
Source: RNAcentral
GUUCUUCGGAACGAGUAGAGCGGCGGACGGGUGAGUAACGCGUGGGAAAUUGCCCAGUAGUGGGGGACAACAUUCGGAAACGGAUGCUAAUACCGCAUACGCCCUACGGGGGAAAGCAGGGGAUCUUCGGACCUUGUGCUAUUGGAUAUGCCCGCGUCGGAUUAGCUAGUUGGUGAGGUAAUGGCUCACCAAGGCAACGAUCCGUAGCUGGUCUGAGAGGAUGAUCAGCCACACUGGGACUGAGACACGGCCCAGACUCCUACGGGAGGCAGCAGUGGGGAAUAUUGGACAAUGGGCGCAAGCCUGAUCCAGCCAUGCCGCGUGUGUGAAGAAGGCUCUAGGGUUGUAAAGCACUUUCAGUAGGGAGGAAGGCCUUAAAGUUAAUACCUUUGAGGAUUGACGUUACCUACAGAAGAAGCACCGGCUAACUCCGUGCCAGCAGCCGCGGUAAUACGGAGGGUGCGAGCGUUAAUCGGAAUUACUGGGCGUAAAGCGCGCGUAGGCGGUUAGUUAAGCUGGAUGUGAAAGCCCCGGGCUCAACCUGGGAACUGCAUUCAGAACUGGCUGGCUAGAGUA